Molecule: long non-coding RNA, 4981 nt
Filed under: Equus caballus (horse)
Lineage: Eukaryota; Metazoa; Chordata; Mammalia; Perissodactyla; Equidae
Description: lncRNA (ENSECAG00000052642.1)
Source: RNAcentral
UUAGCUUGUGGCUUCCUCGUGCUGUAUGAUUUUCUGUAAUGUGUAUUUAUCACAUUUUACGUAUUCAAUCCCCUAAUGAUGGACACCUGGGUUGCCUGCAAUAUCUUGAUAUUACAAACAAACUUGGUGUUCCAAACUCAUCCCUUUACGAAUCUAUGUGAGAACUGCUCUGGGGUAUACACCUAGGAGAGCGAUUAAAAGGUGAUAGGGUACACGCAUGCCUAAGUUCACCAAACCCAGCCAGAUAGAUUUUUUGAAUGGUUUGCUAGUUUACACACCCACCAGGAAGGAAGGAGAGACCCGGCUCCAUGUUCUUGGCAUUUGCCACCCAUCUAAUAUUUUGCCAUGCUGAUGGAUAGCUGGCAUCUCAUUGCUUUAAGUUGAAUUUCUUUAGUUAUUAAAGUUUGAGCAUCUCUUCCUACAUCAUAGAGCAAUUCAGGUUUCUCCAUAUCUGAAUCAUCUGUUCAUGGGUUUUGUUUUGGUUUUUGCAUUUUUUCAUUGGGUUUCCUGUCUUCAUAAUUUACAGGAGUUCUUUGUAUAUUCUAGAUAUCUAACCCUUUUUGGUUCUGGAGGUUGAACAUGCCUCUUAGGGUCGGUUGUGUUCACCGCCCUCUUCUUGAGCUAGCUGACUCCAUCUCAUUCUUCAGGAUCAGCUCAGACAUCCCUUCCUCCGCGAGGCAUUGCCCUCGCUCCCUGCAUUCUGUGUUCUCCAUCUCCUGUCCAUUCCUACAGCCUCCUCUCCUUCUUCAGUCUUCAUGCUUAUCAAUCUAUCAUGAUCACCUGUUUGAGUCUCAGUUUUCCCCCAAGCGAUUUUGAGCUCCCUGUGGCUAUAGAUCGCUUCCUAUUCAUUGUGACAUCUUCAGCUCCUAUUUCAGGGCUUAACAUGAAAGACAAGAACAAAUAUUUGUGGAAUCAAUAAGUAAACUCAUUUGUCAGAUACUUCCUAUGCAUCAAACCCCGAUUUAUCAGCAUUGUAGGCAAUGAUCCAUUAAACCAUCACAACAGCCCUGCGAUGGAGGACUUGUUAUCCCCACAAGAUUUACAGAUGAGGAAACAGAGGGGAUGUGUGGUGUGUGUCACAAGGAAGAUGGAUAACCACCAGCAUUUGCUAUUUUCCAUACUCACUGUGCAUAUACAACUCCGUAGCUCAAGCUGCCAAAUAAGUUUUAAAAGUUCUUACCAAAAGCAUAAUCAUUUAUUUGCCCUCGAAUAUUUCUUUUUUGCUUAACACGGCUACAAGAAUCUGAGGUGGUCUGCCGCUGCUCCUCUCAGCCUCAUCUCUACCAUUACCACCGCCUCUUUCUAAGUCCCAGGGACAUCCGAUCCUCUUACAGCUCCUCAGACGCUCUUCCUUCCCUUCAGAGCGGCACUUCUCAAGCUUCAAUGCAAAUAGAAAUCACCCGGGGAUCUUGUUAAAAAGUUCGAAUACUUAUUUACUACAUCUGUGUUGAGGCUUGAGCGUUUGCAUUUCUAACAAACUCCCAGGUGAUGCUGAUGCUGCUGGUCUGAAGACCACACUUUGAGUAGCCAGAAUUUACAACACUCUUUACUCCAGUUUACUCCUAACUACUCACGCUUCAGAGCUCUGCUUGAAUAUCACCGCCUCAAGGAAUCCAUUCCUCACCAGACUAGACCAGGAAACAGAUCUUCUCUGCACUCCAUCCUUGUUUUUUGAAGCCCUUAACACCAUCGUAUGAAUGAGCCACCACAUGAGUCGUUUAAUGCUGUGUCCCUCACUCAAAGACUAGCUCCAUGACAGAGGGAGCAUCAGUCUGGCUCCCCAUCACAGUCCUUGCACCUGACCAAGAUUCGCCAUAGUAGGAUGUCAACAAGUAUGUGUUCAAUGAAAGGAAGACUGAACGGAGAUAAAUGUCCUAACAGUUGAUUCAGAGACCCUGUGACAGUGGGUUUUUAACCGCUUUUGCCCUACAGAUCCCUUCGAGAAUUUGAGGAAAAAACCUCUCCCAGAAAAUCAGAGCAUCUGACAGAUGAGGAAACUGAGGCACAGCGAGGUCAAUUAGCUUGCAAGCUAAUAAGGGCUGAAGGAGAAAAUCAACUCCACGUAGCCUGGCUCUGAGCCCUGACUCUCAGCAUCGUGCACGAAGCAAGGGUCCCAGGGUCUCCUUCCACAAAUGCGCAUUCCCAGUGCACUGGAUGGGACCCUGGAGGACAAGAAGAGUGAUUGCUUCUCUCAAAGGUGAGCCGGAGGUGAACGUCAGCCCCUGGAGGACACCUCUGGCCCCUUGACCAGGAAAUACUGCCGUGACCGAGACAGAAGUCGCUCCAAACGCAGAGAACAUUAUUCCAAGCAAAUGAGGAAACCCAGCAAUUAUUUCCACUCAAAAGUUGGUAAUGAAUAGGCAUGUUAUUUAUUCAUUCAUUAAAUGUAGGCAAACAAGCACCCAAAGAGGAAGCCGUCUGGCCGUUCUCUUAAUGAAUGUGCCCCGUUUCUGAGUGCAUGUGGGCUGCGCAGAUGAAAUGCUGAACUCUGGAAAUCUAUUACCCACUCAGGAAGCCAUCCUUCCAGCCUUAAUUAGAGAAAAUCAGCAAUUCCCGCUUGUAAGAGAUGGUGGUAGAAAUCAAACUGAGGGACUGAGUUACAGACUAGCCAGGCAGGUGGGGCUGGGCUGGGCAGGGUGCACAGAAGCCUGGGCACCAUGUGAGUUCAUCUGAAAGACUAUGCCUUGGGUGUCCAGGAAGCCUAUUACACCAACGAUGGCCAAGAUAGCACAGGGAAUUGAUGUCAUUGCAAAACACCGAAUCCUUUUUCAUGAAGCCUUGGUGAUUCAUUCAUUCAUUCCAUCAAUUUUCCAUUCGUCCACCUGCUCAUUCCUGCAUCCAGUCAGCAAGCAUUUAUGGAGCACCUACGAUGUGCCAGGCACAACUGAGAGGUGAAGACUCCUGAGACAGUGUGGAACUUGAGUGAUUGUCCUUGGCUGUGCCUGAUGCAAGGGUCUUUGAGGAAGUGCAGGCAGCUGGCUGGGGUGCGCAAGACUUGGAGUAAGACACAUGGACAGCCCCACCCACUUCUCGGGCUUAGCCAGCACGGUGUGCUAAGUUCUGCAUUGAGUACAGACUCCUUCUCAACUCCGUUUUAUACCCCGGCUGUUCUUGCUCCUUCUUCCUCUCUCACUCAAAGCCAUCAGGCAGACCAUCCACCUUCCAAGACUUGGCUUAUGCGUCAUGCCCCUACAAAGUAUCUCCUGGACUCAUUCUCCAUCCCCAUCCUCUUGGAGUCAGAGGUUUUCUUCUUUAUUCCUAAAUGAAAUGUAUCUAUCACCGUCAUGGCAUCUGUAAUGCUGGAUUGUCUUAUUAAAUUGAUAAGCCUGUCUCCCCACAUAGACUCUAGGAAAAAUCCCUCCAGGCAGAGUCCUUUUACGUCUCUUGGGUGCCCAGGAUCUGGCGCAGUGCUUGGCACUCAGUUGGUACUUAAUAAAUGCUGGUGUAAUUAAUGAACAAAUGAAAGAACAUGAGACAAUCUAUUUUAUCAUCCUGUGUGAAUGAAGAAAUCAAUGAAACCACCAUCAAUGAUUGUUUGAGAAUAUAUGCUUAUUGUCUUUUUAAAAGCUCAUUCCUGGAAUGCUACUCAGCAAUAAAAGGAAUGAUUCUGACACAUGGCAACUUGAUGGCUCGCAAGAGAAUUAUGCUGAGUAGAAAAACAAAUCUCCACAUUUUCCAUACUGUAUGAUUCCAUGUGUUUAACGUUCUUGAAAUGGCAAAAUGACGGAGACGGAGACCAGAUUCGUGGCUGCAGGGAUGAGGGUGUGUGGAAGGGAAGGAGGUGCAGUGGAUGUAGGAGGGGACAGGAGGGGUUCUGGUGACAGGACCGUUCUGUGUCCUGACUGUGGUGAUGGUUAUUGAGUCUACACAUGUGGUAAAAUUACAUAAAAUUAGACAACACACAUGCACAAAGUCAAGUGAAAUUGGACAAACCCUCGUGGAUUGUAUGAGUGUCAGUCUCCUGGUCGUGACAUUGUACUACAGUUAUUCAAGAUAUUAUUAUGGAGGGAAACUGAGCAGAGAGUCCAUGGGAACUCCUUGUACUUUCUUACAAACUACAUGUGAAUCUUCAAUUAUCUCAAAAUAAAAAGAACACACACACAUACAUACACAAUGAGUUCUCACUACACAUCCACCAGAAUGGCUAAAAUUCAAAAGACUGACAACAUCAAGUGUUGGCAAGGAUAUGGAGCAAGUGGAACUCAUGUACACUAUUGCUGGGAGUGUUGAUUGCUACAAACACUUUGAAAAACAAUGGUAGUUUCUACCAAGGCUGAAAAUAGACACACUUUAUGACCCAACAUUUCCAUUCCAAGGGAUAGACCCCAACAGAAAAAUCAUACAUAUUGGAUGAUCUGAAGCAGAACAUUUCAUAACUCCUCCCCUUCUAAUAGGGCAUGAAUGCCAUCAUGAGGGCCUCACCCCCGUUACCUAAUCUAAGCUGAAUUACUUCCCGAAGGCCUCACCUCCCAAUACCAUCACAAUGGGGACUGGGGCUUCUGCUCAUGAAGUGGGAGGGGCAACCACAAAGAUUCAGUCCCUAGCACCUAGGACAGAGUACUACAUAGCAACCAGAGUGAACAAGUUGCACCUGUGUGCAUCAAUAUGGAUGAAUUUCAGAACCAUAAUGUUGAUGAAAGAAGAUAGUCACAGGGGCUGGCCUGGUGGUGUAGUGGUUAAGUUUGCGCACUCUGUUUCGGCAGCCUGAGAUUCACAAGUUUGGAUCCCAGGCACGAACCUACACACCACUCAUCAAGCCAUGCUGUGGAGGUGUCCCAUAUGCCAAAAAAUAGAGGAAGAUUAGCACAGAUGUUAGCUCAGGGACAAUCAUCCUCAAGCAAAAAGAGGAAGAUUGGCAACAGAUGUUCGCUCAGGGCCAAUCUUCCUCACCAAAAAAAAAAAAGAAGAUAGUCAUAAAAGAAGACACACUGUAUGAUCCCAUUUAUACAAAGUUCAAAAGAAGCAAAAUUAGUCUGCUGCU